This is a long non-coding RNA of Cyprinodon variegatus (sheepshead minnow), 146 nucleotides long. RefSeq lists it as uncharacterized. The record is from RefSeq and is a predicted model, not a curated record. The transcript is spliced from 3 exons. NCBI's taxonomy places the organism in Eukaryota, Metazoa, Chordata, Actinopteri, Cyprinodontiformes, Cyprinodontidae.
GAUUUCUGCAGCAUCAGGUCAGAAAGCAGCAGUCAAAGCUCCACCACCAAUCAUGGAGUCAACCAGGCAGACAGUCAAGUUUACAGCUCUCUGCUGCACCGUGAUACUUCUGAGUAUGAGUCAAUCCAACGAGCCACAAACAAAGG